This 217-nucleotide ribosomal RNA is filed under the name uncultured bacterium. Its description in RNAcentral is "partial 16S ribosomal RNA". It matches the Rfam family "Bacterial small subunit ribosomal RNA", at positions 113 to 334 of the family's 1533-position model. The record is from RNAcentral.
CAACGUGGGUGACCUGCCCUUUAGUGGGGAAUAACGCUGCGAAAGCAGCGCUAAUACCGCAUAGCCUUGACCCUUCACGGGUUCAGGAAAGCUCAAUGCGCUAAAGGAGGGGCCUGCGGCAGAUUAGCUAGUCGGUGGGGUAAUGGCCUACCGAGGCAACGAUCUGUAGCUGGUCUGAGAGGAUGACCAGCCACACUGGGACUGAGACACGGCCCAG